This 690-nucleotide ribosomal RNA is filed under the name uncultured Enterococcus sp. RNAcentral describes it as "bacterial SSU rRNA". It matches the Rfam family "Bacterial small subunit ribosomal RNA", at positions 76 to 752 of the family's 1533-position model. The record is from RNAcentral. Lineage: Bacteria; Bacillati; Bacillota; Bacilli; Lactobacillales; Enterococcaceae.
CGGUUCACCGAGAAAUGGGAGUGGCGAACGGGUGAGUAACACGUGGGUAACCUACCCAUCAGCGGGGGAUAACACUUGGAAACAGGUGCUAAUACCGCAUAAUUCUUUUCUUCGCCUGGAGGAAAGAUGAAAGACGCUUUUGCGUCACUGAUGGAUGGACCCGCGCUGCAUUAGCUAGUUGGUGGGGUAACGGCUCACCAAGGCCACGAUGCAUAGCCGACCUGAGAGGGUGAUCGGCCACACUGGGACUGAGACACGGCCCAGACUCCUACGGGAGGCAGCAGUAGGGAAUCUUCGGCAAUGGACGAAAGUCUGACCGAGCAACGCCGCGUGAGUGAAGAAGGUUUUCGGAUCGUAAAACUCUGUUGUUAGAGAAGAACAAGGAUGAGAGUAGAAUGUUCAUCCCUUGACGGUAUCUAACCAGAAAGCCACGGCUAACUACGUGCCAGCAGCCGCGGUAAUACGUAGGUGGCAAGCGUUGUCCGGAUUUAUUGGGCGUAAAGCGAGCGCAGGCGGUUUCUUAAGUCUGAUGUGAAAGCCCCCGGCUUAACCGGGGAGGGUCAUUGGAAACUGGGAGACUUGAGUGCAGAAGAGGAGAGUGGAAUUCCAUGUGUAGCGGUGAAAUGCGUAGAUAUAUGGAGGAACACCAGUGGCGAAGGCGACUCUCUGGUCUGCAACUGACGCUGAGGC